UUUAAAGCUCUUUGAAGAUCUUCAUCCUUCCUUUGAAGAUCUUCAAGGUUCUUGGGGAGGGAGCAAUUUGGUGAAUUUGAAAUAUUUUUGGGAUUUUCUAUAAAUCUUGAAGCUUUUUGGGGUUCUCUAUAAUUUAGAAAAAUUAUGGCAGAAAUAAGAAGGAAAAAGACCCCCGGAGGGCGACGACUAGAUGGCAUAGCGAGCCGUGACUCCUCGACUAGGGGAGGCGAGAGUUUCAUGGGAUGGUAUACCAAAUGAACACUUUAGGGGACCCGGGAUCAUAUCUGUAAUUCCAUGUGGGGCACAUGGGUAAGUCUUCUUUUUCUUUUCCUUAUUUAUUAUUAUUUUCUUUUGAAAAAAAAAUCAUGCAUUUGUUAUUAUUGUUGUUUUCUUCUCCCUUCUUUUAGGUGCCCCACGAGGAUGGGCCUCGCACAUUGGCCAGAUACGGCCAUCCCAACAUGGUUCGGGAUUGGUACUAGGUACUUCCCUAUAGGGUCAAGCAUACUGUGGAUGGAUCUUACCUGAAUUGUGUGGCCUUAUUAGAGACUAAGAAGUUCAACCCCAGGUUGGUGGGAGGAUUGAUCGAGCGAUGGUGGCUGAGCACACAUUCUUUUCAUCUUCCCAUGGGCGAGAUCACCAUUACACCCCUCUGUUUCUAUGUCCUGACAGGUAUACCAUUUGGAAGUAUACCCUUGACGUUGCCUGAGGCCAUGGGGGCAAAGGAUUUCAUGGAUUAGACCUAGAUUGCUAUUCCUGUUGAUCAGACAUCCAUUUUCCUGGAUGAUAUUACAGUUCGUUAGUAGAGACCCGAUCUAAGAUUGACUCCCGACAUGAUCCCACAGUUGGCCUGUUCCUUCCUCUUGUUUUCUAUGGGGCAGUGCCUCUUUAGCACCCUCCGAGGCAGGAUAGAUACUCGUAUGGCUACUCUUUUUUGGAACCUCUUAGGACUGGGGUAGGGCAACUUUUGCAUACCAGUUGCAGACGCUUGAUCUUUUGGCAUAAAGAGAUCGUGGCCUCAAGGGAGCGGUCUACAUUAUCCAGCCCUUGUGUUACGAGCAUCUGGGGAUUAUGGCUCCCAUACUGAGUGACCCACAGGCAUCCUUCUUCCCUGUGACCACAAGAUGGGGAGAUCGUUAGAUUAUUAGGGGCCGACACCUUCCUCCAGGGACCACCGCUCGCUCUCUCUUGAAAGAGCUUACCGAGGUAAGUCAUAUUUGGCUCUAAGUUUUCCUUUGCCUUAUGCUUUACUUAUUGCUUCUGAACCUAUAGGUCUCGUGGAGACCUUUUUGGCACCUUGGUUUCCCAGUUGCUGAGGAGGUUGCUUGGGUAAGACACCUGACUAAGAACAGAGUCCUGUUUUGAGGCCUUUGGGGCCAUGUCUGGUAUCUAGGGGAGCAAGUCACUCUUCAGUGGUAUGGUGCAGAUCGACACUUUCUCCUUGCCUUCCUCCUUACUAUGCAUCAUCCAGAGCUGAUACCCGAGGACAAGGUUGAAGAACUAGCCGAAGGAUAGAGAUUAUGAGGCCUUCCUUGAUAAGGAGACAUUCUGUGUCCCCCUUAGCCCCACAGGUCCAAUGUGGAGGACACGCCCUGCGGUCCCUUCUUCUGUUCAGCCACAACCGAGUGCUGUCGGUCCCUCCUUUUCCGAAACUUCUGUUGCUACAGCUUCUAGAAUGAAGACUGGAUGGGGACGCCUCUCUUGGAUCGCCUAUCCCUUAUGACUGUGUGUCUCCGGAGGCCUAUGCAGAGAUCAGACGAAUGCAUCAGGGCCUUUGCGAUGAACUAUUCCUUCAGGGUGGGGAGAAUGCUUCUUUGAGGGGACAAGUUAAUUACCAGAGGGAAGUGAUCGCUCGACAAACUACUCAGAUUCGGGAUCUCACGAUAAGAAUGGCGAUUUCGCGGUUGGCACCUGAUGAAUCUUCGAUGUUCCCUGUGGAUGACCUCGAGUAUGGCUUGGAUGAGGAUGCCGAUUCCUAGAGACCUAUUCCUGUUGUUCCUACAAAACACAGAUGUUGCUUUUUUUCUUUUUCUUUUUCUUUUU
Macadamia integrifolia is the source of this 2040-nucleotide long non-coding RNA. RefSeq lists it as uncharacterized. The transcript is spliced from 6 exons. The record is from RefSeq and is a predicted model, not a curated record. Lineage: Eukaryota; Viridiplantae; Streptophyta; Magnoliopsida; Proteales; Proteaceae.